This 480-nucleotide ribosomal RNA is filed under the name uncultured bacterium. Its description in RNAcentral is "bacterial SSU rRNA". It matches the Rfam family "Bacterial small subunit ribosomal RNA", at positions 25 to 518 of the family's 1533-position model. The record is from RNAcentral.
CAGGAUGAACGCUGGCGGCGUGCUUAACACAUGCAAGUCGAACGGACUGAAUGGAGCUUGCUCCAUGAGGUUAGUGGCGGACGGGUGAGUAACGCGUGGGUAACCUGCCCUAUGCAGGGGGAUAACGUUUGGAAACGAACGCUAAUACCGCAUAAACUAAUUGCUUCGCAUGAAGUGAUUGGCAAAGAUUUAUCGGCAUAGGAUGGACCCGCGUUGGAUUAGCUAGUUGGUGAGAUAACAGCCCACCAAGGCAACGAUCCAUAGCCGGCCUGAGAGGGUGAACGGCCACACUGGGACUGAGACACGGCCCAGACUCCUACGGGAGGCAGCAGUGGGGAAUAUUGCACAAUGGGCGCAAGCCUGAUGCAGCGACGCCGCGUGAAGGAUGAAGGUCUUCGGAUUGUAAACUUCUAUCAGCAGGGAGGAACCAAUGACGGUACCUGACUAAGAAGCCCCGGCUAACUACGUGCCAGCCGCGGC